GUGAAGUCCUGCCAGCUCUCUCUCCCAGAUUACUCAUUUUCUUACUGCCCAGCUUUUGCCUGGGUAAGGAAUUACUGUAGUCCCCUGAAGGAAACUAGGGAAGAAUGUUAUUAUUUUUCAUAUUUAUCUUACAGGUUGUGUCCUGACCUGGAGUUGAAGGGAGGCAACCGCAGAUGGAAAUCUUGUCUGAAAUCUAUUCUCCAUGUUGUCAAGGGCUGGUAAUGGGCUCAGUCUACCCGGACAUGGGGCUGCAUCAUCCCAGUACUCAAUCCAGAGGGAAGGGUGUCUAUUUGGUGAUCAAGACACCAUGGGGGUGUUAUGGUUUGGAUCUGAAAUGUUGCCCAAAGACUCAUGUGUUGAGGGCUAGUUCCCCAAUGCAUUUGGGGAAGUGAAUGGAUUAUGAGGUUCUGAUCUCAUCAAUGCAUGAAUCCAUUGAUAGGUUCACAGUUUAAGGGACUACUGGAAGAUUCUGGAAACUUUAGGAGGUGGGACCUGGCUGAAGGACACAGGUGUCACUAGUCGGGUGCCUUUGAAGGGCAUAUUUUGUCCUUGCCCCUUCUUCCCAGCCAACAUCCUUCUCUGCCCCAUGUUCCUAGUCAUGAUGUUCUUCCUUUCCUCAGGCCCAAAGAUGGUGCUGGCUGGCCAUAGACUGAAAAAUCUGAAACUGUAAGCCAAAAUUAAUCUUUCCUUCUUUAUUUUAAUUUGUUGGGUAUUUU
This 716-nucleotide long non-coding RNA is filed under the name Marmota monax (woodchuck). The record is from RNAcentral. Lineage: Eukaryota; Metazoa; Chordata; Mammalia; Rodentia; Sciuridae.